GAUGAACGCUGGCGGCGUGCCUAAUACAUGCAAGUCGAGCGAACAGACGAGGAGCUUGCUCCUCUGACGUUAGCGGCGGACGGGUGAGUAACACGUGGAUCACCUACCUAUAAGACUGGGAUAACUUCGGGAAACCGGAGCUAAUACCGGAUAAUAUAUUGAACCGCAUGGUUCAAUAGUGAAAGACGGUUUUGCUGUCACUUAUAGCUGGAUCCGCGCCGCAUUAGCUAGUUGGUAAGGUAACGGCUUACCAAGGCGACGAUGCGUAGCCGACCUGAGAGGGUGAUCGGCCACACUGGAACUGAGACACGGUCCAGACGACUACGGGAGGCAGCAGUAGGGAAUCGGCCGCAAUGGGCGAAAGCCUGACGGAGCAACGCCGCGUGAGUGAUGAAGGUCUUCGGAUCGUAAAACUCUGUUAUUAGGGAAGAACAAAUGUGUAAGUAACUAUGCACGUCUUGACGGUACCUAAUCAGAAAGCCACGGCUAACUACGUG
This 497-nucleotide ribosomal RNA is filed under the name uncultured bacterium. RNAcentral describes it as "partial 16S ribosomal RNA". It matches the Rfam family "Bacterial small subunit ribosomal RNA", at positions 28 to 507 of the family's 1533-position model. The record is from RNAcentral.